RNAcentral lists this ribosomal RNA (1254 nucleotides) under Alfalfa witches'-broom phytoplasma Mes40. RNAcentral's name for it is "bacterial SSU rRNA". It matches the Rfam family "Bacterial small subunit ribosomal RNA", at positions 153 to 1399 of the family's 1533-position model. Lineage: Bacteria; Bacillati; Mycoplasmatota; Mollicutes; Acholeplasmatales; Acholeplasmataceae. The record is from RNAcentral.
GAAACGGUUGCUAAGACUGGAUAGGAAACAAAAAGGCAUCUUUUUGUUUUUAAAAGACCUUCUUAUGAAGGUAUGCUUAAAGAGGGGCUUGCGCCACAUUAGUUAGUUGGUAGGGUAAAAGCCUACCAAGACGAUGAUGUGUAGCUGGACUGAGAGGUUGAACAGCCACAUUGGGACUGAGACACGGCCCAAACUCCUACGGGAGGCAGCAGUAGGGAAUUUUCGGCAAUGGAGGAAACUCUGACCGAGCAACGCCGCGUGAACGAUGAAGUAUUUCGGUAUGUAAAGUUCUUUUAUUGAAGAAGAAAAAGUAGUGGAAAAACUAUAUUGACGUUAUUCAAUGAAUAAGCCCCGGCUAACUAUGUGCCAGCAGCCGCGGUAAGACAUAGGGGGCGAGCGUUAUCCGGAAUUAUUGGGCGUAAAGGGUGCGUAGGCUGUUAGAUAAGUCUAUAAUUUAAUUUCAGUGCUUAACGCUGUCUUGUUAUAGAAACUGUCUUGACUAGAGUGAGAUAGAGGCAAGCGGAAUUCCAUGUGUAGCGGUAAAAUGUGUAAAUAUAUGGAGGAACACCAGAAGCGUAGGCGGCUUGCUGGGUCUUUACUGACGCUGAGGCACGAAAGCGUGGGUAGCAAACAGGAUUAGAUACCCUGGUAGUCCACGCCGUAAACGAUGAGUACUAAGUGUCGGGGUAAAACUCGGUACUGAAGUUAACACAUUAAGUACUCCGCCUGAGUAGUACGUACGCAAGUAUGAAACUUAAAGGAAUUGACGGGACUCCGCACAAGCGGUGGAUCAUGUUGUUUAAUUCGAAGAUACACGAAAAAUCUUACCAGGUCUUGACAUACUCUGCAAAGCUAUAGAAAUAUAGUGGAGGUUAUCAGGGAUACAGGUGGUGCAUGGUUGUCGUCAGUUCGUGUCGUGAGAUGUUAGGUUAAGUCCUAAAACGAGCGCAACCCUUGUCGUUAAUUGCCAGCACGUAAUGGGUGGGGACUUUAGCGAGACUGCCAAUUAAACAUUGGAAGGAAGGUGAGGAUUACGUCAAAUCAUCAUGCCCCCUUAUGAUCUGGGGCUACAAACGUGAUACAAUGGCUGUGACAAAGAGUAGCUGAAACGCGAGUUUUUAGCCAAUCUCAAAAAAGCAGUCUCAGUUCGGAUUGAAGUCUGUAACUCGACUUCAUGAAGUUGGAAUCGCUAGUAAUCGCGAAUCAGCAUGUCGCGGUGAAUACGUUCUCGGGGUUUGUACACACCGCCCGUCA